This 301-nucleotide ribosomal RNA is filed under the name uncultured bacterium. Its description in RNAcentral is "partial 16S ribosomal RNA". It matches the Rfam family "Bacterial small subunit ribosomal RNA", at positions 509 to 807 of the family's 1533-position model. The record is from RNAcentral.
CAGUAGCCACGGUAAAACGAAGGGGGCUAGCGUUGUUCGGAUUUACUGGGCGUAAAGCGCACGUAGGCGGACUUUUAAGUCAGGGGUAAAAUCCCGGGGCUCAACCCCGGAACUGCCUUUGAUACUGGAAGUCUUGAGUAUGGUAGAGGUGAGUGGAAUUCCGAGUGUAGAGGUGAAAUUCGUAGAUAUUCGGAGGAACACCAGUGGCGAAGGCGGCUCACUGGACCAUUACUGACGCUGAGGUGCGAAAGCGUGGGGAGCAAACAGGAUUAGAUACCCGUGUAGUCCCUGUCUCUUAUAC